UUUGAAAGGAAGAAUAGAAAAAUCUACAUGAGUACUCUUGGGGGAACAGAAUUACAUUGCCUCUCCGUGGACUCCUGGCUGUACAUUCUCCAAUAAGCAGUCUUGGUGACCCACUGGAACGUGCCCUUUCAGCUACUGUCAUUAAUAACUUCAGAUUUUGCAACAUGAUAGUCUGA
This 176-nucleotide long non-coding RNA is filed under the name Macaca nemestrina (pig-tailed macaque). Its description in RNAcentral is "lncRNA (ENSMNEG00000046020.1)". The record is from RNAcentral. Lineage: Eukaryota; Metazoa; Chordata; Mammalia; Primates; Cercopithecidae.